GAUGAAGAACGUAGCGAAACGCGAUAAGUAAUGUGAAUUGCAGAAUCCAGUGAAUCAUCGAAUCUUUGAACGCACAUUGCGCCCGCCAGCAUUCUGGCGGGCAUGCCUGUUCGAGCGUCAUUUCAACCCUCGACCUCCCCUUGUGGAGGUCGGCGUUGGGGACCGGCAGCACACCGCCGGCCCUGAAAUGGAGUGGCGGCCCGUCCGCGGCGACCUCUGCGCAGUAAUACAGCUCGCACCGGGACCCCGACGCGGCCACGCCGUAAAACACCCAACUUCUGAACGUUGACCUCGAAUCAGGUAGGACUACCCGCUGAACUUAAGCAUAUCAAUAAGCGGAGGA
This 343-nucleotide unclassified non-coding RNA is filed under the name soil metagenome. RNAcentral describes it as "partial contains 5.8S ribosomal RNA, internal transcribed spacer 2, and large subunit ribosomal RNA". The stretch from base 1 to 120 matches the Rfam family "5.8S ribosomal RNA", at positions 35 to 154 of the family's 154-position model. The record is from RNAcentral.